CGCACCUUGCGCUCAUAGGUAUUCCUAUGAGCAUGUCUGUUUGAGUGUCAUUAAUAACCAACAAAGCCCCCUUUUUGUAGCAAUACAAAAGGUGCUAGGGUUUUGGAUGUUGAUCUUUCAUUGCUAGUGUUUUCUUAUAAACAUAAGCUAGAUCGAAAUAUAAGAGCAGAUCAUUUUAAAGGUCGAUGGUCUCAGUUGAAGUUGGCGUAAUAAUUAUUUCGUCAAUUAGUAGACUUGAGAAUUAACCGUUACUUUUAUUGACGCUAAUAGCUAGUACAUUAUUAAAGCUUGACCUCAAAUCAGAUAGGACUACCCGCUGAACUUAA
Molecule: unclassified non-coding RNA, 326 nt
Filed under: Cortinarius saturniorum
Lineage: Eukaryota; Fungi; Basidiomycota; Agaricomycetes; Agaricales; Cortinariaceae
Description: partial contains 5.8S ribosomal RNA, internal transcribed spacer 2, and large subunit ribosomal RNA
Source: RNAcentral